Molecule: transfer RNA, 76 nt
Filed under: Candidatus Roizmanbacteria bacterium
Lineage: Bacteria; Candidatus Roizmaniibacteriota
Description: tRNA-His
Rfam family: tRNA
About the family: Transfer RNA (tRNA) molecules are approximately 80 nucleotides in length. Their secondary structure includes four short double-helical elements and three loops (D, anti-codon, and T loops).
Source: RNAcentral
GUGGCUGUAGCUCAGUUGGUAGAGCACCUGCCUGUGGAGCAGGUUGUCGCGGGUUCGAUCCCCGUCAGUCACCCCA